GAUGAACGCCGGCGGUGUGCCUAAUACAUGCAAGUCGUACGCACUGGCCCAACUGAUUGAUGGUGCUUGCACCUGAUUGACGAUGGAUCACCAGUGAGUGGCGGACGGGUGAGUAACACGUAGGUAACCUGCCCCGGAGCGGGGGAUAACAUUUGGAAACAGAUGCUAAUACCGCAUAACAACAAAACCACAUGGCUUUUGUUUGAAAGAUGGCUUUGGCUAUCACUCUGGGAUGGACCUGCGGUGCAUUAGCUAGUUGGUAAGGUAACGGCUUACCAAGGCAAUGAUGCAUAGCCGAGUUGAGAGACUGAUCGGUCACAAUGGAACUGAGACACGGUCCAU
Molecule: ribosomal RNA, 342 nt
Filed under: uncultured bacterium
Lineage: Bacteria
Description: bacterial SSU rRNA
Rfam family: Bacterial small subunit ribosomal RNA
Source: RNAcentral